This 253-nucleotide ribosomal RNA is filed under the name uncultured bacterium. RNAcentral describes it as "partial 16S ribosomal RNA". It matches the Rfam family "Bacterial small subunit ribosomal RNA", at positions 524 to 776 of the family's 1533-position model. The record is from RNAcentral.
UACGUAGGGGGCGAGCGUUGUCCGGAUUUACUGGGCGUAAAGCGCGUGUAGGCGGCUUCUUAAGUCGGGUGUGAAAGCCCGGGGCUCAACCCCGGGAUGCCGCCCGAGACUGGGAGGCUUGAGGUCGGAAGAGGGGAGUGGAAUUCCAGGUGUAGCGGUGAAAUGCGUAGAGAUCAGGAGGAAUACCGGUGGCGAAGGCGGCCUUCUGGACGGUGACUGACGCUGAGACGCGAAAGCGUGGGGAGCAAACAGG